AGUGAACGCUGGCGGUAGGCCUAACACAUGCAAGUCGAACGGCAGCACAGUAAGAGCUUGCUCUUACGGGUGGCGAGUGGCGGACGGGUGAGGAAUACAUCGGAAUCUACUUUUUCGUGGGGGAUAACGUAGGGAAACUUACGCUAAUACCGCAUACGACCUACGGGUGAAAGCAGGUGCUCUUCGGACCUUGCGCGAUUGAAUGAGCCGAUGUCGGAUUAGCUAGUUGGCGGGGUAAAUGCCCACCAAGGCGACGAUCCGUAGCUGGUCUGAGAGGAUGAUCAGCCACACUGGAACUGAGACACGGUCCAGACUCCUACGGGAGGCAGCAGUGGGGAAUAUUGGACAAUGGGCGCAAGCCUGAUCCAGCCAUACCGCGUGGGUGAAGAAGGCCUUCGGGUUGUAAAGCCCUUUUGUUGGGAAAGAAAAGCAGCAGGUUAAUACCCCGCUGUUCUGACGGUACCCAAAGAAUAAGCACCGGCUAACUUCGUG
This 492-nucleotide ribosomal RNA is filed under the name uncultured bacterium. RNAcentral describes it as "partial 16S ribosomal RNA". It matches the Rfam family "Bacterial small subunit ribosomal RNA", at positions 29 to 507 of the family's 1533-position model. The record is from RNAcentral.